Molecule: ribosomal RNA, 254 nt
Filed under: uncultured bacterium
Lineage: Bacteria
Description: partial 16S ribosomal RNA
Rfam family: Bacterial small subunit ribosomal RNA
Source: RNAcentral
UACGUAGGGGGCAAGCGUUGUUCGGAUUUACUGGGCGUAAAGGGCGCGUAGGCGGCCACCGCAAGUCAAUUGUGAAAUCUCCGGGCUUAACUCGGAACGGUCAACUGAUACUGCGGGGCUAGAGUGCGGAAGGGGCAACUGGAAUUCUCGGUGUAGCGGUGAAAUGCGUAGAUAUCGAGAGGAACACCUGCGGCGAAGGCGGGUUGCUGGGCCGACACUGACGCUGAUGCGCGAAAGCCAGGGGAGCGAACGGG